GUACUAGCUGUCAGCUGCUGGAGACCUUGCUUUCUGUUUCACUGGGAAACAGAAGCAAUCAGAAGGAAACUUCCUCAGACUCCACCUCUCCCUUCACUCCCGCCUGUAUCCGUGCCUGUUACCUGGACGCCUUGUGGAACUUGAAUUCUACGCCCUCCACUGGGACACUGCCCUUCAUCCUCUCUCACCUCCUCCAGGACAACAAAUGUUGUAGUCCUCAUCAUCAGCAGAGACUUUGUGCCAUCCUCUGCUAUAUUAUCCUGAAGAGUGCCUGGCUCAUGCUGCAGUGUUCUGAAUAGCAGUCCAGCUAUGAGGGGAGGUGCCCGUGGCAGGCCUCAGCUGACCCUGGAGAGGCCAUUAAGACCUGGCUGUCGCCUCCACAGCUGCUCGGAGGCAGAGAAAGGUGGCUUUGUAAGAAGAAAAGAGAUCAUUCUUUUUCCACCAUGUGAGGACCCAGCAAGAGGGUGGCUGUCUGCAAACCCAGGGAGAGAGCCCUCACCAGGAAUCUGCUGGCACCUUAAUCUUGGACUUCCCAGCCUCCACAACUGUGAGGAAUAAAUGUAUGUUGUUUAAGCCA
RNAcentral lists this long non-coding RNA (577 nucleotides) under Homo sapiens (human). RNAcentral describes it as "myelodysplastic syndrome 2 translocation associated, transcript variant 2 (MDS2)". Lineage: Eukaryota; Metazoa; Chordata; Mammalia; Primates; Hominidae. The record is from RNAcentral.